GAAGUGUUAGUUUCAAUUUAAAACAUCUGUCUGUCAAUCAGAAAAUUCGGGCCAACUCCCCGAACAGUUCUUUUGGGUG
RNAcentral lists this transfer RNA (79 nucleotides) under Haliotis virginea. RNAcentral's name for it is "tRNA-Asp". The stretch from base 1 to 70 matches the Rfam family "tRNA". From Rfam's summary of the family: Transfer RNA (tRNA) molecules are approximately 80 nucleotides in length. Their secondary structure includes four short double-helical elements and three loops (D, anti-codon, and T loops). Further hydrogen bonds mediate the characteristic L-shaped molecular structure. tRNAs have two regions of fundamental functional importance: the anti-codon, which is responsible for specific mRNA codon recognition, and the 3' end, to which the tRNAs corresponding amino acid is attached (by aminoacyl-tRNA synthetases). tRNAs cope with the degeneracy of the genetic code in two manners: having more than one tRNA (with a specific anti-codon) for a particular amino acid; and 'wobble' base-pairing, i.e. permitting non-standard base-pairing at the 3rd anti-codon position. The record is from RNAcentral. Lineage: Eukaryota; Metazoa; Mollusca; Gastropoda; Lepetellida; Haliotidae.